UGGGGAAUCUUGCACAAUGGGCGAAAGCCUGAUGCAGCGACGCCGCGUGCGCGAUGAAGUCCUUCGGGAUGUAAAGCGCUUUCGACGGGAACGAUAAUGACGGUACCCGGAGAAGAAGCUGCGGCUAACUACGUGCCAGCAGCCGCGGUAAUACGUAGGCAGCAAACGUUGUUCGGAGUUACUGGGCGUAAAGAGUGCGUAGGCGGCUUGGUAAGUUCGGUGUGAAAUCUUCCGGCUUAACUGGAAGGGUGCGCCGAAAACUGCCGAGCUGGAGUGCCGGAGAGGAAAGCGGAAUUCCUGGUGUAGCGGUGAAAUGCGUAGAUAUCAGGAGGAACACCGGUGGUGUAGACGGCUUUCUGGACGGCCACUGACGCUGAGGCACGAAAGCGUGGGGAGCAAACAGG
This 404-nucleotide ribosomal RNA is filed under the name uncultured bacterium. RNAcentral describes it as "bacterial SSU rRNA". It matches the Rfam family "Bacterial small subunit ribosomal RNA", at positions 355 to 776 of the family's 1533-position model. The record is from RNAcentral.